GUAGGUGAACCUGCGGAAGGAUCAUUAUUCAUUUCGCUUUGAAAGGUUUUUUGGCUGACAAGGCCUUGGACCCGAAAGCAAAACGUUUUCUGUGCACUGUUGGAAAAAAUAGAUUAGAUUGAAAUGGGGUAUUAUUUUCAUUCUUACACACUCUCUUUAUAUGCUGCUCUGUGCUGCUUCUCUCCCUUCUUCAAAGGCGGGGAGAUUAUUGAGAAAAAAAAGAACGUUGUUAUUCUCCUUUUCAAUUUUU
RNAcentral lists this unclassified non-coding RNA (250 nucleotides) under plant metagenome. RNAcentral describes it as "partial contains small subunit ribosomal RNA, internal transcribed spacer 1, and 5.8S ribosomal RNA". The record is from RNAcentral.